CGAUUCUGGCUCAGGACGAACGCUGGCGGCGUGCUUAACACAUGCAAGUUGAACGGUAUGACAUGGAAGCUUGCUGAAGUGUCAUAUAGUAGCGGACGGGUGAGUAAUGCAUGAGAAGCUGCCAUUGGGAGGGGGACAACAGUUGGAAACGGCUGCUAAUACCCCGUAUGCCGGAAGGUGAAAGGGAGCGAUCCGCCCGAUGAGGUGCUCAUGUCCUAUCAGCUGGUUGGUGGGGUAACGGCCUACCAAGGCGACGACGGGUAGCCGGCCUGAGAGGGUGAACGGCCACACUGGAACUGAGAUACGGUCCAGACUCCUACGGGAGGCAGCAGUGGGGAAUAUUGGGGCCAAUGGGGGCAACCCUGACCCAGCGACGCCGCGUGGGGGAAGACGGCCUUCGGGUUGUAAACCUCUUUUGUACGGGAAGAAGGAAGUGACGGUACUGUACGAAUAAGUCCCGGCUAACUACGUGCCAGCCGCCGC
Molecule: ribosomal RNA, 483 nt
Filed under: uncultured bacterium
Lineage: Bacteria
Description: bacterial SSU rRNA
Rfam family: Bacterial small subunit ribosomal RNA
Source: RNAcentral